RNAcentral lists this ribosomal RNA (484 nucleotides) under uncultured bacterium. RNAcentral describes it as "partial 16S ribosomal RNA". It matches the Rfam family "Bacterial small subunit ribosomal RNA", at positions 30 to 507 of the family's 1533-position model. The record is from RNAcentral.
AUUGAACGCUGGCGGCAGGCCUAACACAUGCAAGUCGAGCGGAUGAAGGGAGCUUGCUCCUGGAUUCAGCGGCGGACGGGUGAGUAAUGCCUAGGAAUCUGCCUGGUAGUGGGGGAUAACGCCCGGAAACGGGCGCUAAUACCGCAUACGUCCUGAGGGAGAAAGUGGGGGAUCUUCGGACCUCACGCUAUCAGAUGAGCCUAGGUCGGAUUAGCUAGUUGGUGGGGUAAAGGCCUACCAAGGCGACGAUCCGUAACUGGUCUGAGAGGAUGAUCAGUCACACUGGAACCGAGACACGGUCCAGACUCCUACGGGAGGCAGCAGUGGGGAAUAUUGGACAAUGGGCGAAAGCCUGAUCCAGCCAUGCCGCGUGUGUGAAGAAGGUCUUCGGAUUGUAAAGCACUUUAAGUUGGGAGGAAGGGCAGUAAGUUAAUACCUUGCUGUUUUGACGUUACCAACAGAAUAAGCACCGGCUAACUUCGUG